This 72-nucleotide transfer RNA is filed under the name Bos taurus (domestic cattle). It matches the Rfam family "tRNA". From Rfam's summary of the family: Transfer RNA (tRNA) molecules are approximately 80 nucleotides in length. Lineage: Eukaryota; Metazoa; Chordata; Mammalia; Artiodactyla; Bovidae. RNAcentral also lists the same sequence under 4 other names. The record is from Rfam by way of RNAcentral.
UCCCUGGAGGUUCAGAUGGUAGAGCGUCUGCCUGCAAUGCAGCAGACCCAGGUUUGAUCCCUGGAUUGGGAA